UGGGGAAUUUUGCACAAUGGGGGAAACCCUGAUGCAGCGACGCCGCGUGUACGAUGAAGAUCUUCGGAUUGUAAAGUACUGUCCUUGGUGAAGAUAAUGACUGUAACCAAGAAGCAAGCCCUGGCUAAAUACGUGCCAGCAGCCGCGGUAAUACGUAUGGGGCAAGCGUUGUCCGGAAUUAUUGGGCGUAAAGGGUACGUAGGCGGUUAUUUAAGUCUAAAUUAAAAGGCAUUGGCUCAACCAAUGUAAGGUUUAGAUACUGGAUAACUUGAGUAGAUGAGGGGAAAGUGGAAUUCCAUGUGGAGCGGUGAAAUGCGUAGAUAUAUGGAGGAACACCAAUGGCGAAGGCAACUUUCUGGAAUCAAACUGGCGCUGAGGUACAAAGGCGUGGGGAGCAAACAGG
RNAcentral lists this ribosomal RNA (403 nucleotides) under Fusobacteriota bacterium. RNAcentral describes it as "Fusobacteria bacterium partial 16S ribosomal RNA". It matches the Rfam family "Bacterial small subunit ribosomal RNA", at positions 355 to 776 of the family's 1533-position model. Lineage: Bacteria; Fusobacteriati; Fusobacteriota. The record is from RNAcentral.